ACCCUAGUGUGUUUAGUAGAUAAUCCUUCCAAACAUUGAUUCCAUGGGAGGGGAUAAAUGAUAAAAGGUAACAAUAGCUAAGAGUGGGAGGGGGACCUUGUGGAUAUUGAAAGAAUCAGAGAAUAGGAAUGAUGUUGGGAGGAUGAUGUUAUCUCUGUCUAGCUUUUUAAGUGCUCUUUGUCCUCAAGGCUAUGUAUUGUAAAUGAUGAGCUAUUUGUGCGGAAUGCCAGUUCUGAAGAGAUCCAAAGAGCCUUCGCUAUGCCUGCACCCACGCCUUCCUCCAGCCCGGUGCCCACCCUCUCUCCAGAGCAGCAGGAAAUGUUGCAAGCAUUCUCUACCCAGUCUGGCAUGAACCUCGAGUGGUCCCAGAAGUGCCUUCAGGACAACAACUGGGACUACACCAGAUCUGCCCAGGCCUUCACUCAUCUCAAGGCCAAGGGCGAGAUCCCAGAAGUGGCAUUCAUGAAGUGAUCGUAGUCAUGCCUCAGAAGCAGUCCCCCCUGUAAAUAGUCCUUGGAUAUUACCGUCU
This 529-nucleotide long non-coding RNA is filed under the name Homo sapiens (human). Its description in RNAcentral is "non-protein coding lnc-TMEM223-3:1". The record is from RNAcentral. Lineage: Eukaryota; Metazoa; Chordata; Mammalia; Primates; Hominidae.